AACGAACGCUGGCGGCAUGCCUAACACAUGCAAGUCGAACGAGACCUUCGGGUCUAGUGGCGCACGGGUGCGUAACGCGUGGGAACCUGCCUUUAGGUUCGGAAUAACUCAGAGAAAUUUGAGCUAAUACCGGAUAAUGUCUUCGGACCAAAGAUUUAUCGCCUUUAGAUGGGCCCGCGUUGGAUUAGCUAGUUGGUGGGGUAAAGGCCUACCAAGGCGACGAUCGGUAACUGGUCUGAGAGGAUGAUCAGUCACACUGGAACUGAGACACGGUCCAGACUCCUACGGGAGGCAGCAGUGGGGAAUAUUGGACAAUGGGGGCAACCCCGUGAGUCCAAGCCGAUGCCGCGUGUGUG
RNAcentral lists this ribosomal RNA (356 nucleotides) under uncultured bacterium. RNAcentral describes it as "bacterial SSU rRNA". It matches the Rfam family "Bacterial small subunit ribosomal RNA", at positions 29 to 407 of the family's 1533-position model. The record is from RNAcentral.